RNAcentral lists this unclassified non-coding RNA (395 nucleotides) under soil metagenome. RNAcentral describes it as "partial contains 5.8S ribosomal RNA, internal transcribed spacer 2, and large subunit ribosomal RNA". The stretch from base 1 to 122 matches the Rfam family "5.8S ribosomal RNA", at positions 35 to 154 of the family's 154-position model. The record is from RNAcentral.
GAUGAAGAACGUAGCGAAAUGCGAUACUUGGUGUGAAUUGCAGAAUCCCGUGAACCAUCGAGCCUUUGAACGCAAGUUGCGCCCGAAGCCAUCAGGUUGAGGGCACGUCUGCCUGGGCGUCACAUAUCGUUGCCCAAUGCCUAUUGCAGUGCAAUAGGAAUUUCUAGGGCGAAUGAUGGCUUCCCGUGAGCGUUGUUGCCUCGCGGUUGGUUGAAAAUCGAGUCCUUGGUAGGGUGUGCCAUGGUAGAUGGUGGUCGAGUUAGAACGAUACCGAUCAUGUGCAUGCUCCCCAAAAUCUGGCCUCUAUGACCCACACGCGUCUUUUGACGCUCAUGACGAGACCUCAGGUCAGGCGGGGCUACCCGCUGAAUUUAAGCAUAUCAAUAAGCGGAGGA